Molecule: non-coding RNA, 74 nt
Organism: Herpetosiphon aurantiacus DSM 785
Lineage: Bacteria; Bacillati; Chloroflexota; Chloroflexia; Herpetosiphonales; Herpetosiphonaceae
Source: Rfam
GGGCUCGUGGUGUAGCGGCCUAACAUGCCACUCUGUCACAGUGGAGAUCGGGGGUUCGAAUCCCCUCGGGCCCG